UCCCGUGUGGUCUAGUGGUUAGGAUUUUGGUUUUCACCCAGGCGGCCGGGGGUUCGAUUCCCCGCACGGGAG
RNAcentral lists this transfer RNA (72 nucleotides) under Clytia hemisphaerica. RNAcentral's name for it is "tRNA-Glu for anticodon UUC". It matches the Rfam family "tRNA". Rfam says of the family: Transfer RNA (tRNA) molecules are approximately 80 nucleotides in length. Their secondary structure includes four short double-helical elements and three loops (D, anti-codon, and T loops). Lineage: Eukaryota; Metazoa; Cnidaria; Hydrozoa; Leptothecata; Clytiidae. The record is from Rfam by way of RNAcentral.